RNA transcript from Sapajus apella (tufted capuchin), 2860 nucleotides. It is a transcript of the gene named cleft lip and palate transmembrane protein 1-like protein, with no coding region annotated. Lineage: Eukaryota; Metazoa; Chordata; Mammalia; Primates; Cebidae. The transcript has 5 exons. The record is from RefSeq and is a predicted model, not a curated record.
AUGCGGGGCGAGAGAACAGCCCAAAUCAGGACACUGCCCAUCGCUGUGGAGGUGGACAGUGACGGUGCUGCGGCCCUAGCCAGACCCUUCAUGCUGAAAGGCGAUGCAGGGGGCGCCCCGGGACCGGAAGCACCGGCGCCCGGAGCCAGGGGAACGGGGGUCUGGACGUUUGCUGACUGCGGGUCCCCGCACGCUCCGGCUCCGCCGGGGCCCGCUCCAGCCGAAGAGGCCGUUUUUGCGUCCCGCCAAGCCCCGUCACCUUCCCGCGGCGUCUGGAAGAUGGAACUCCCUGACCGGGAAAACAAAACCGCUGUGGCUGUGAGGACCGGGACGGGUGGCGUUGGGGGCCACGGCUGCGUGCCGCGCUUCGGGCGAGCUCCUUGCCUACCGCGGCGGUCCGGGCCCUCCCCAGGCCGUGGCCCUGUCCGGGCCUUCAGUCCUCGCCAGGGCCGGCGGUGGACUCGCUUUUCCAGCAAGGCCCGGGGAAGCCCGCGCGGCCCCAAGCCCUGUGUCCCCUCCAAGGGCUGGGAGUGGAAGGACAGCGUGCUUCUCAUGGAAAAGACCUCAGCAGGACACGCACAGAAAUCCAGGCAACUGGGACGGAAACCAUGUCCUCCAGGAAGGGAGUGGUCCAUCAGCCCAGGGAUCGCCAAGAGGGAUCGCGGUUCCUUCACCAGCUUCGUGCUGGGCGUGCUGGUGGUCUGCGUGGUGCGCACCUGCUGGGUCCUGCAGGGCAUCGUCUACACCCGCCCUAUCUCCGGCGACGCCAGCUGCAUCCAGCCCUACAUAGCGCAUCGGCGCCAGCUACAGCUGAGCGUGUACCCCACGACGCGGUCCCACCUGGGUGCUGAGAACAGCAUCGACCUGGUCUUGAAGGUGGAAGACUUCGAUGUGGAGUCCAACUUUGAAAGGACGGUUCCUGUGUCUGUACCGAAGAAAACAAGAAAUAACGGGGGGCGGCAUGCCUGCAUCCUCCUCCAGCAAGCUGGGAUCCUGCCUUGGCACGAGGGGAAGCAGGUGCACCCGUCAGUCCUCUGACCACUGCCGUGGUCCCCAAGCAGGAAGAAAUCAACCUGCUCCCUGGGGAUUCUGAUACACAGCAGCAGAUGGAGGCGGAGAAGAAGCCAACUGGCGCGCCGAUGAGCCGCUGUCCCACGGGAGACCGCGGCUGGCGCUGAACGCGACGGCGGACAACUUCGUCUUCCGCUGGCGCUCCCUGCCAGCCGACGUGCAUCGGCACAUGAAGAUGGUCCAGCUGGAGAAGACCGUGCACCACCUCCCCAUCCUGCUCAUCCGCCAGGUCGGCAACCGCGGGAAGGGCCUGAGGGUCAUAAACCGCUCCCCACAGAGCUGCCCCUCCCGGUGUCCUACGACAAGGUCUCGCUGGGGCUGCUGUGCUUCUGGAUCCACAUGUAGGUUGCCGUGAACUCCCUGCGGCAGUUCGGGUUUUCAGAGAAAGAUGCUGAUGAGGUGAAAGGAAUCUUUGUAGAUACCAACUUGUACUUCCUGGCGCUGACCUUUUCCUUCUGAGCCUUCCAUCUUCGCUUUGAUUUCCUGGCCUUUAAAAAUGACAUCAGUUUCUGGAAGAAGAGCAUGAUUGGCAUGUCCACCAGGGCAGUGCUCUGGAGCUGCUUCAGCAUGUGGUCAUCUUCCUGUUCCUGCUGGAAGAGAAGAGGAGCCUGCUGGUGCUGGUCCCAGCGGGCAUGGGAGCCGCUAGGAAGCUGUGGAAAGUGAAGAAGGCAUUGAAGAUGACUGUUCCUCGUAGAGGCCUGAGACUGGAACUUCAGGUUGGCACUUACAGAGAAUCCAAGAGGAAAACCAAGGAGUACCAUACUCAGGCCAUGAAGAACUUGUCUUACCUGCUGUACCCUCUCUGCAUGGAGGGUGCUGUCUAUUCAUUCCUGAACAUCAAGUAUAAGAGCUAGUACUUCUGGUUAAUAACAGCUUUGUCAGCGGGGUCUAUGCCUUCGGCUUCCUUUUCAUGCUGCUCCAGCUCUUCCUGAACUACAAGCUGAAGUCAGUGGCACAUCUGCCCUGGAAGGCCUUCACCUACAAAGCUUUCAAUACCUUCAUUGACUAUGUCUUUGCCUUCAUCAGCACCAUGCCCACUUGGUGUUUCUGGUCUACCUGUCCCAGUGGUGGCUUUAUCCUGUGGAUAAACGCAGAGUGAAUGAGUCAGGGGAGUCCUAUGAGGAGGCUACACGCACACCCCACACGGACUGAAGGCUGCCCACCCUUGGGGCUGCCCAGGCUGCUGCCAGCCAAGUGUAACUUGAAUUGUCAAUGAGUAUUUUUGGAAGCAUCUGGUGGCAUUCCUAGACAUUGCGUCUUCUGUGUUGCCAGAAUCCCUUUGGACAUUGCUCAGACCUCUCCCAAGUUCCCUUCAUGUCAGAUUCAGAGCUGGUAGUGCUUACAAUGCCCCCCACGUGUGAACAGCUGUCUCGGUUACCGAGCUGCACACUGCCGGUCACCCUGAAUUGUGGUGCCUCCCGGCACCCGAGUGUCCAGUGGGGGUUGGCCAUGUCCUCACACUGGCAGACGCGGGAGCCCUCGCAGGUACGGGGGCUGUUGGAUUAACAUUUCAGGUGGUUUUUUAUGUGCUCCUUAUGUGAAUUUCAAACACAUAUGGAAUUCAUUGGGUGUGGACUCUGGGAUCAAAGGCUCUUUCCUCUUUUGAGAGUUGGUUGUUUUAAAGCUUAAUCUAUGUAUGUUUCUGUUUUUAAAUACACAUUUUCUGGCUGUGGUAUUUUUCUUGACCUGGUAUAAUAAUGGAAAGUACUUCAGAUAUUUGAGUUUAACCCUUUUCCAGAAAGUAAUACAUAAUAUGGAUUUAUUAAUGCAUUAAAAGAGCAAAUUUUAA